UGCCGGCUUAGCUCAGUUGGUAGAGCGGCGGUAUCGUAAACCGUAGGUCAGGUGUUCGACUCACCUAGCCGGCAU
Molecule: transfer RNA, 75 nt
Filed under: Pediococcus acidilactici
Lineage: Bacteria; Bacillati; Bacillota; Bacilli; Lactobacillales; Lactobacillaceae
Also listed under: 1 other name
Description: tRNA-Thr(cgt)
Rfam family: tRNA
About the family: Transfer RNA (tRNA) molecules are approximately 80 nucleotides in length. Their secondary structure includes four short double-helical elements and three loops (D, anti-codon, and T loops).
Source: RNAcentral